RNAcentral lists this ribosomal RNA (505 nucleotides) under uncultured bacterium. RNAcentral describes it as "bacterial SSU rRNA". It matches the Rfam family "Bacterial small subunit ribosomal RNA", at positions 791 to 1304 of the family's 1533-position model. The record is from RNAcentral.
UAGUCCACGCCGUAAACUAUGAUUACUCGAUAUUGGUCUUAUGAUCAGUGUCCAAGCGAAAGUAUUAAGUAAUCCACCUGGGGAGUACGAUCGCAAGGUUGAAACUCAAAGGAAUUGACGGGGGCCCGCACAAGCGGUGGAGCAUGUGGUUUAAUUCGAUGCAACGCGAAGAGCCUUACCUAGGCUCUAAUGUGACCGCAAUCCGGUGAAAGCUGGAGUUCCUUCGGGACGGGAAACAAGGUGCUGCAUGGUUGUCGUCAGCUCGUGCCGUGAGGUGUUGGGUUAAGUCCCGCAACGAGCGCAACCCUUGUCUUUAGUUGCCAUCAUUUAGUUGGGCACUCUAGAGAAACUGCCGGUGACAAACCGGAGGAAGGUAAGGAUGACGUCAAGUCAGCAUGCCCCUUACGCUCUGGGCUACACACGUGCUACAAUGGUCGUGACAAAGAGUUGCUAGUCUGCGAAGGCAAGCCAAUCUCAUAAACGCGGCCUUAGUUCGGAUUGCAGG